GACGAACGCUGGCGGCGUGCUUAACACAUGCAAGUCGAACGGAAAGGCCCUGCUUUUGUGUGGUGCUCGAGUGGCGAACGGGUGAGUAACACGUGAGUAACCUGCCCUUUACUUUGGGAUAACUUCAGGAAACUGGGGCUAAUACCGGAUAGGAGCUCCUGCUGCAUGGUGUGGGUUGGAAAGUUUCGGCGGUUGGGGCUGUACUCGCGGCUUAUUAGCUUGUGGGUGGGGUAAUGGCUUACCGAGGCUUUGACGCGUAGCCGACCUGAGAGGGUGAGCGGCCACACGGGGACUGAGACACGGCCCAGACGGCUACGGGAGGCAGCAGUAGGGAAUCUUCGGCAAUCGACGCAAGUCUGACCGGGCAACGCCGCGUGAGUGAAGAAGGUUGUCGGAUCGGAAAAAUCUGUUGUUAGAAAAGAACAAGGAUGGGAGUGGAAAGGUCAGCCCUUGACGGUAUCUAACCAGAAAGCCACGGCUAACUACGUG
RNAcentral lists this ribosomal RNA (489 nucleotides) under uncultured bacterium. RNAcentral describes it as "partial 16S ribosomal RNA". It matches the Rfam family "Bacterial small subunit ribosomal RNA", at positions 28 to 507 of the family's 1533-position model. The record is from RNAcentral.